GCAUCGCCGCCGCAGCCGCCGCCGCUCGGCUGACUGGGGCAGGACCACUCACUGGACUGGCGGCGGCGCCGCUGUCUCUGCUCGGCUGACCAGGGCAGGACGACUCCUUCCCCUCCGGCGACCUCACCCUCCACCGCACCUCAACUUCGCCCGGUCCCUGCUCACCCGUCGCCUGUUCCCUUUGGUGAGUCUGCUUUGCUUUCCUCGCUGAUGCUUCUUCCUCUUGCCAUUUGGUGAGUCGUGCCGGAUUCAAUUUGUCAGCCAAGCGGGGUCGCCUCUCCUUCGCCCUGGCAGUCGCUGCCAAAUGGCUCCUUGAGUACAAACUCAGUCCAUGAGAGGUGAUAUAAUCAAAUUUGUUUGGGUAUAUUGAUUGGUCUAUUGAAAUAUCAAAACACUAGGAGAAUGUCAUUUUACCUAGCUUGAGUGAAUAUAUAGGUUAUUGUCCUCAGAAAUACUGGCACCCAUGACCCAUCUGGAAUAUUGGUUCAGUUAUCUCAGAGACCCAGAAGCACCUAAAGAUGCAAUAAAAGCUCUUAUUUUGUACCCCCUAGAAUUGUGAAAUAAUCUCCCUAAACCUAGAGCUUGUGUGAUGAGCCUUCACUCCUGUCUUAACAUCAUCAAGAUUAGGCAACCCAAGGUGCUUCUUUGGUGUUACGAAACGCUUUGUGAUUAAGCAAAUUGCCAUGGUCAGUACUCUGUUGCAGCCUUGCUGGGUGGUUUUUCUUACUUUUUAGCCAUGCCUCUUCACUUUUACGCUUUGUGCUCUUGUCAUUGACUCCACAAACGGACAGUUCAUAAAGACAGUACAUGGUAAAUUUCCUGGUUGGUUAAGUUGUUAGCUCCAACACUUUUUAGAGCAUCUUCUUGCUGCGUAAGAUCGUGGGUUUACAUCUGGUAAGCUUACUCCAUUUCGAUUUUCAAUAGAUUAGCACUUUCAAGCUUUUAAUUGUUGCUUCCAUAAAAUAGGUGAUGCAAGUCCUCUAGCAAAUCAAGGCUUGGAGGAAAGUCGUUCCUUUUCAGGCAUACUUAAUAGUUCUUUCUCAUCUUUGCAUAACGAUAAUUUUCAGUAACGAAACUUGGUACUUGGUUUUUUUAGUGUACUUUCAAAGUUUCUGGUAGCAAUUGGUUUAUUCUAGAAAAAUAGGUGGCAGCACUAUGUAGGAUGUGUGGUUCUUGGAAAAAAGUUUGAGUAUCUGAUUAGCUUUGCAUUUGUUUUUAUCAGUAGACCUAUAAAGCUACUGAUUUAUCAUUCCAAGUAAUUCCACCUUUGCUCACAUUAGUAGUCUAAAUUUUAUUAGAAUGUGCUUAUGUUCAGGCUCACAACAGAUCGAGGUGCUUGCUUGUUCAAAUUUCUAAUACAUGCACUACUACUGACAAUGUUUCCAUGUGUGUUGAGUCACCAUUUUAUUGCCACCCUGCAUAUUUGAGUACCGGAACAUCUAUGGUCUAAGCUGGUCAAUUGUUGGUUCUGUUACAACCAACAGCGAUGCCCCCCUCCUCAUCCAUUUUGCCUAGCUUCAUCCAGGUACUUCAUUUGGGCACAUAAUUGUCUUUGCUAAUUUUCCAUACUAUAAAAGUUGGAGUGGAGGUGGUUGGUGGGUUGUCCUAAUCCAGAAGCUGGUUACAGUGAUGGACAUGUUCUGUUUGAAGCAACAAAUCCCACUAUCAUGGUUGUUGCGCAACACACAUCGCCUACAUUUUCAGGAAAUCAAUAUUGCACCAGCAAUGUUGGUUCCGGAUUUGGCUCCUGCAAGAUCAGUAAGAGAGGCUAUACAAGAAGUCAAAAUGGUCCAUACCCUGAUAUGCUGGAGGUAGGGAAUGGUGGCAUGGCUUUUUCAGAGUAUCGCUCACAUUUUAGCAUCUAGGCUCUCAUGAAGUGUUCAUGAAGACUGGACCAAUUUUGUCAGUCACAUUCGGUUACUACUUCAUCAGUCAUUAAUGGGGUAUACUUGGGUAGUGGAAUAAACCGAACAGUCUUGUAAAAUAAAAAAUACUAAUUUUAUUGCUCAAAAUCUGUCUUUUUAUAUCUGAUUGAUGACUAAUGUCUUGUGUGACUGCUCUCCUGAAUCACUGUACAUUUAUUGUAAACUUGCUUAUGACCCAUGUUUUUAGUGCUCAAACCACAACAUUGAUAAUA
This is a long non-coding RNA of Panicum virgatum (switchgrass), 2137 nucleotides long. RefSeq lists it as uncharacterized. The transcript is spliced from 3 exons. NCBI's taxonomy places the organism in Eukaryota, Viridiplantae, Streptophyta, Magnoliopsida, Poales, Poaceae. The record is from RefSeq and is a predicted model, not a curated record.